Molecule: ribosomal RNA, 1062 nt
Filed under: Metacrangonyx ilvanus
Lineage: Eukaryota; Metazoa; Arthropoda; Malacostraca; Amphipoda; Metacrangonyctidae
Description: 16S ribosomal RNA
Rfam family: Archaeal large subunit ribosomal RNA (bases 840-998)
Source: RNAcentral
GUACUGUAAAGGAAUCAAAAAUAGAAUACAAGAAUUUAUAAAAAUUAGUACCUUUUGUAUCAGGUUUAAUCAAUAUUAUUAAAAUUAUUUAAUUUCGAAAUUAUUUGAUUUAGAUAAUUAUAAAUUAUUUUGUUUCAAAAAAGUGAUAUAUAAUUUUCUAGUGGUGAAAAUUCUUGCGAAAAUAAUGAUAUCUAAUUAAAAAUGAAAUAAUAAAAUUUAUUCUUUAUAAAAGAUAAGUUCAGUUGGGUCAGCUAAUUGAAUUAAAAUAAAAGUGAGUAAGGUACAAAAAACUAAGCCUUAAAUUAGCUACGUUUAUAAAUUGUGUUAAAUAAUUGGUUAUUAGGACGGUAUAAUUUAUAAUUAAUUUUUAUUUUUUAAAGUAAAUUAAAAAUAAAAAAAUGAUUAAAUUAGUAUUUUUGUUUGUUAAAAUGAAUGAACUCAAUUAUAUUUUGACUGUUUAACAAAAACAUUUCUUUCUGAAAUUUGGAAAGUAAGACCUGCCCAGUGGAGACUAAACGGCUGCGGUAUUUUGACCGUGCUAAGGUAGCAUAAUAAAUUGUUCUUUAAUUGGGAACUGGUAUGAAAGGUUCUACAAUCUAUAACUUUAUAAAUUUUAAUUUACGAAUUUUUAUUACAAGUAAAAAUACUUGUAUAUUAUAAAGGGACGAUAAGACCCUAGAAGCUUUAGUUUUUAAAAAAUAAGAAGCAAUUAUAUUUAUAGUUCUUAUAUAAAAAAACUUUGAUUGGGGAAAUAGAAAUUUUAAAAAUAAUUUUAUUUAUAAUAAAUUUAUUAUUUUAUGAUCUUUUAAAUAAAAAAGGAAUGAAUUAGUUACUCUAGGGAUAACAGCGUAAUAAUUUUGGAUAGCCCACAUAUAUAAAAUUGAUUACGACCUCGAUGUUGAAUUAGAAUAUCUUUAUAAAGUAGAAAUUAUAAGAGAAAGUUUGUUCAACUUUUAAUUUUUUACAUGAUUUGAGUUCAGACCGGUUUAAGCCAGGUCGGUUUCUAUCUUUUAUAAAUAAAAAAUUUUUUUAGUACGAAAGGAUUGAAUAAUUUUAAUAAUU